UACAGAGGUCCCAAGCGUUGUUCGGAUUUACUGGGCGUAAAGGGUGCGUAGGUGGCGGGGUAAGUCUGGUGUGAAAGCUCCGAGCUCAACUCGGAAAAGCAUUGGAAACUAUCCCGCUAGAGGGUCGGAGGGGAGACUGGAAUUCUCGGUGUAGCAGUGAAAUGCGUAGAUAUCGAGAGGAACACCAGUGGCGAAGGCGAGUCUCUGGACGACUCCUGACACUGAGGCACGAAAGCUAGGGGAGCAAACAGG
RNAcentral lists this ribosomal RNA (252 nucleotides) under uncultured bacterium. RNAcentral describes it as "partial 16S ribosomal RNA". It matches the Rfam family "Bacterial small subunit ribosomal RNA", at positions 524 to 776 of the family's 1533-position model. The record is from RNAcentral.